This 264-nucleotide ribosomal RNA is filed under the name uncultured archaeon. RNAcentral describes it as "partial 16S ribosomal RNA". It matches the Rfam family "Archaeal small subunit ribosomal RNA", at positions 719 to 982 of the family's 1478-position model. The record is from RNAcentral.
ACGACUACAUUAGAUACCCGGGUAGUCCCAGCUGUAAACGAUGCAGACUAGGUGUUUGGACGGCCACGUGCCGUUCUAGUGCCGCAGGGAAGCUGUUAAGUCUGCCGCCUGGGGAGUACGAUCGCAAGAUUGAAACUUAAAGGAAUUGGCGGGGGAGCACCACAAGGGGUGAAGCUUGCGGUUUAAUUGGAGUCAACGCCGGGAAAUCUCACCGGGAGCGACAGCAGUGUGAUAGCCAGAUUAAAGGUCUUGCUAGACGAGCUG